This 200-nucleotide ribosomal RNA is filed under the name uncultured bacterium. RNAcentral's name for it is "partial 16S ribosomal RNA". It matches the Rfam family "Bacterial small subunit ribosomal RNA", at positions 28 to 231 of the family's 1533-position model. The record is from RNAcentral.
GAUGAACGCUAGCGGCAGGCUUAACACAUGCAAGUCGAGGGGUAUGGUUCUUCGGAACCAGAGACCGGCGCACGGGUGCGUAACGCGUAUGCAAUCUACCCUUUACAGAGGGAUAGCCCAGAGAAAUUUGGAUUAAUACCUCAUAGUAUAACAUGACCGCAUGGUCGAGUUAUUAAAGUCACAACGGUAAAAGAUGAGCA